AAGGAUCAUUAUUGAAAUAAACCUGAUGGGUUGUUGCUGGUUCUCUAGGGAGCAUGUGCACACCUUGUCAUCUUUAUAUCUCCACCUGUGCACUUUUUGUAGACCUUUCAGGUCUAUGUUGCUUCAUUUACCCCAAUGUAUGUUAAUAGAAUGUUGUGCCUAUAUAAUAUAUACAACUUUCAGCAACGGAUCUCUUGGCUCUC
RNAcentral lists this unclassified non-coding RNA (203 nucleotides) under uncultured fungus. RNAcentral describes it as "partial contains 5.8S ribosomal RNA, internal transcribed spacer 2, and large subunit ribosomal RNA". Lineage: Eukaryota; Fungi. The record is from RNAcentral.